GUCAGAUGGAAAUGUUUACCUUGCCCGAGCAGGAUGCCGAUUCUCUUCUCUAUUUAUGGGAAAACUUUAUGUCCUGCGGUAAUCCUUGCAAAUGUUGAGGAGUUAAUCUUUAUGUGGAAACAUCUUCGUGGUAGUCAAGUUGUACCACAGUUCAUUGUCAAAUCUCAUCUUUCCUGAAACAGGAUCCAUAAAUAUUCUCUUCAGUAGAACACACGGCCAUAUUCCUCCAAGAAUCUUUUCAAUAUCACGAGGAUUCAACAGAAACGUUUGACAUGACCG
This is a long non-coding RNA of Xenia sp. Carnegie-2017, 279 nucleotides long. RefSeq lists it as uncharacterized. NCBI's taxonomy places the organism in Eukaryota, Metazoa, Cnidaria, Anthozoa, Malacalcyonacea, Xeniidae. The transcript has 2 exons. The record is from RefSeq and is a predicted model, not a curated record.